RNAcentral lists this long non-coding RNA (1528 nucleotides) under Betta splendens (Siamese fighting fish). Its description in RNAcentral is "lncRNA (ENSBSLG00000020067.1)". The record is from RNAcentral. Lineage: Eukaryota; Metazoa; Chordata; Actinopteri; Anabantiformes; Osphronemidae.
AUGUUGGACCAGAUGAAGGCUGUGGCUGUCCUUGCCAUCACCAUAAAAAAAGGUAUGAACACCAGAGUACUUGUCACUGUCCUGUUUAUGGUAAUUGUUGCCGUAAACACAGCAACAGCUACAACUGGAUUUGUCAUGAACCAAACGCCUACUCCUCUCAAUGUAGCUGUGUCUAAUCAAAAGUGUAACAUAACAAAGUACUGUGGAUCCCUGCCCUCUUCAUGCAACCCUUCCUCACAAAGCUGCUACUUUGCCUCUGCACAGCCAAAUGCAGCUGGUUUUUUGUUUGAGCUUUCAGGGAAUGCAACUGGCUACAUCGCAGCCACAGUGACUUCUAACUCUGCAUUUGGAAACAAUGAAACAACCUACAUCUGCGCAAGCGGCAGCUCAACUGUUGAUUUCUACACUGCUCUGCUCAACAACAUGACACUGAUCUCAGCAAAUCUGAGCGUGACCUCUGUGAACGGCACAAACAAUGGAAUCAUUACCCAGUGCCUAAUUAAUACCACAAUAAUAAGUGCUACUCUGGUAAACAUCUACAAUGGAUCCUACAAUAGCACUACUCGUGACUUGGGAAACCUCAACUUCCUGUUCCAGAUUGACGUUAGACCUCCGUUAGGUAACAGUACAGGAUCAAAUGACGGCAUCACCAUCCAGCAUUCAAUGACACAAGCUCUGCUGAUCACUGCAGGUGUGCUGGUCCUGGCGUUGAUGUGAGGAAAGUGAAGAAGUGGUACAAAUGUAUUAGAGAUGGAAGUAUGGGUGAUGGGGGUUGUUUAUUCUUCCACAGCCUUCUGACUUCUUUCAUGUCUGAAACCAGUGAGAGAAUUAAGAUUAGUUUUCCAAUUUAAAGUGUAUGUGAUUUAUUCUAUUAUUUUAUUCUAUUAUUAUUAUGUAAGUCAGACCUACAGUAAUCACAGAAAUUAUUUCUGCUUGGUUUCCUAGUUUAAAUUUUUUAAGUAAACCAGCGCCUGGUUUUCAGAACGUGAAUUCAUGUUUAACACACAUUCUGGAUACGGGGUCACCUUAGUACCACUGGAUAUGAAGUGAUGAAUGAAUAUGUCCUCUGUGUGCAUGUUACUUCCUUACACAAUCAUCCAUUUAAAUGUUAUUUACGUUUUUUACUUGUCUGUUUUUGCAAUUUUUUGUACACCAAUUAAAAUGAAAGGUGUGACAAUGUUAGCAGUUGUAAUGGAUAUUUGUAAAGUUCACAGUGAUAGACAGUUUUCAGCUGGUUUAACAUUUACUGGUUUACGUUCCUUCACUACUUACUGGGAUUCUGUAAGAGGCCUUCAGGUCCUGUUGUUUUAUUAAAUGGCUGCAUCACAGCCUACACCACACACACCAUUAGUUAAUAUUGGCUACUGGCCCUUCACCAGCAAACACCUGCUGGAGUACACGUCCCGUAACAUGGUUUAACAAGCACAGAAGCAUUUUUGCUAACCUGCCUACAGGUUUGCAGGAAUAUAGAUUUAAACUGCACUGAAGUUAGGUGGAAAAUAAAAGUUGUAUUGAGGUAUGUUGUCCA